GCUCAAAUGGUAGAGCGCUCGCUUAG
RNAcentral lists this non-coding RNA (26 nucleotides) under Xenopus tropicalis (tropical clawed frog). Lineage: Eukaryota; Metazoa; Chordata; Amphibia; Anura; Pipidae. RNAcentral also lists the same sequence under 1 other name. The record is from RNAcentral.